Long non-coding RNA from Bradysia coprophila, 149 nucleotides. The record is from RefSeq and is a predicted model, not a curated record. NCBI's taxonomy places the organism in Eukaryota, Metazoa, Arthropoda, Insecta, Diptera, Sciaridae.
AGUUCUGCGUCUGACAUGAACAUCAAAAAUGUUCGGAGGCUUAUGCAAUCAAAAUAGGACUUCUAUUUUAUCGUAAAGACAGGAGUCACGAUUUUUUGAUGUGAAUAAAAACACACAACACAUACAAAUGUAAUUUUUAAAAAUUUUAA